UCCCUGGUGGUCUAGAGGCUAAAACUCUGUGCUCCCAGUGAAGCAGGCCUAGGUUCAAUUCCUGGUCAGGGAA
This is a non-coding RNA of Bos taurus (domestic cattle), 73 nucleotides long. NCBI's taxonomy places the organism in Eukaryota, Metazoa, Chordata, Mammalia, Artiodactyla, Bovidae. The record is from Rfam.